UACGUAGGGGGCUAGCGUUGUCCGGAAUCAUUGGGCGUAAAGAGCGUGUAGGCGGUCCGGUAAGUCCGCUGUGAAAGUCGGGGGCUCAACCCUCGAAUGCCGGUGGAAACUGUCGGGCUGGAGUCCGGAAGAGGCGAGUGGAAUUCCUGGUGUAGCGGUGAAAUGCGCAGAUAUCAGGAGGAGCACCAAUGGCGAAGGCAGCUCGCUGGGACGGUACUGACGCUGAGACGCGAAAGCGUGGGGAGCAAACAGG
RNAcentral lists this ribosomal RNA (253 nucleotides) under uncultured bacterium. RNAcentral's name for it is "partial 16S ribosomal RNA". It matches the Rfam family "Bacterial small subunit ribosomal RNA", at positions 524 to 776 of the family's 1533-position model. The record is from RNAcentral.